AUGUUGGUCUUUCUUUGUGAGACUAGGUAGGAAGCUACGAAGAUGAGGAGAAUUCGAGGCCGUAUUGGUUUGAAAGGCUUCGAGGGAGUAGAUAGCAAUGGUAUGAGUGGUGGAUUAGCACUGUUUUGGCAUGAGUCGUGUGUGGUUGAAAUUUUGGGUAAGGAGGAAAGAUAUACCGAUGCUUUGGUCAGAUUGAAUGUUGAUGCAGAACAAUGGAGAGUCACCUUUGUUUAUGGAGAGCCACGUGUUGAGAACCGUCAUCUCAUGUGGUCGAAGCUACAGAGUUUAAAGAACGUGAGCGACCGGCCAUGGCUUGUUAUAGGAGAUUUCAACGAAGCCCUUUGGGACUUCGAGCACCUCUCGGCUUCCCCAAGGCCGGAACAGCAGAUGAUCGCGUUCAGAGAUACGCUUGAAGUCUGCGGUCUGGUUGACUUAGGCUUUUCUGGAAUCCCGUUCACAUAUGAUAAUUUGAGGGCUGGUGUGUCCAAUGUUAAAGUACGCUUGGACAGGGCAACGGCGACAAACGACGUAAUAUGUUUCCGGUCUAUUCGGUCCAGCAUGUUGUAUCUCCGUAUUCUGAUCACGUGGCAUUGGUGA
Molecule: ribosomal RNA, 597 nt
Filed under: Triticum aestivum (bread wheat)
Lineage: Eukaryota; Viridiplantae; Streptophyta; Magnoliopsida; Poales; Poaceae
Description: partial small subunit ribosomal RNA
Source: RNAcentral